RNAcentral lists this ribosomal RNA (389 nucleotides) under Xylanibacter ruminicola. RNAcentral describes it as "bacterial SSU rRNA". It matches the Rfam family "Bacterial small subunit ribosomal RNA", at positions 506 to 897 of the family's 1533-position model. Lineage: Bacteria; Pseudomonadati; Bacteroidota; Bacteroidia; Bacteroidales; Prevotellaceae. The record is from RNAcentral.
UGCCAGCAGCCGCGGUAAUACGGAAGGUCCGGGCGUUAUCCGGAUUUAUUGGGUUUAAAGGGAGCGUAGGCGGUAUAUUAAGCGUGUUGUGAAAUGUAGGUGCUCAACAUCUGACUUGCAGCGCGAACUGGUUUACUUGAGUACGCACAACGUAGGCGGAAUUCGUCGUGUAGCGGUGAAAUGCUUAGAUAUGACGAAGAACUCCGAUUGCGAAGGCAGCUUACGGGAGCGCCACUGACGCUGAAGCUCGAAAGUGCGGGUAUCGAACAGGAUUAGAUACCCUGGUAGUCCGCACGGUAAACGAUGGAUGCCCGCUCUGAGUCCUUUUGGAUUUGGGGCCAAGCGAAAGCAUUAAGCAUCCCACCUGGGGAGUACGCCGGCAACGGUGA